UUGUACACACCGCCCGUCGCUCUUACCGAUGGACUUCUCUGUGAGUUUGAGGGACUGAGUAUUUUUGCCUAUGGAAACUUAAACGAACAGUGUGGUCUAAAGGAAAGAGAAGUCGUAACAAGGCAUCGGUAGGUGAACCUGCCGAUGGAUCA
Molecule: ribosomal RNA, 152 nt
Filed under: Virgulinella fragilis
Lineage: Eukaryota; Foraminifera; Rotaliida
Description: partial 18S ribosomal RNA
Rfam family: Eukaryotic small subunit ribosomal RNA
Source: RNAcentral